Molecule: RNase P RNA, 161 nt
Filed under: Peptococcaceae bacterium
Lineage: Bacteria; Bacillati; Bacillota; Clostridia; Eubacteriales; Peptococcaceae
Description: partial RNase P RNA component class A
Rfam family: Bacterial RNase P class A
About the family: Ribonuclease P (RNase P) is a ubiquitous endoribonuclease, found in archaea, bacteria and eukarya as well as chloroplasts and mitochondria. Its best characterised activity is the generation of mature 5'-ends of tRNAs by cleaving the 5'-leader elements of precursor-tRNAs.
Source: RNAcentral
GGUAAACCCCACCUGGAGCAAGACCAAAUAGGGAGGCUUUGAAGUUGCCCGCUUCGCCUCCGGGUAGGUUGCUUGAGAUCUCGGGCGACUGGGAUCCUAGAUAGAUGAUCACCACCUUUGCAAUGAAGGUACAGAACCCGGCUUAUAGGAUUGCUUGCUAU